Molecule: long non-coding RNA, 192 nt
Organism: Hibiscus syriacus
Lineage: Eukaryota; Viridiplantae; Streptophyta; Magnoliopsida; Malvales; Malvaceae
Exons: 2
Source: RefSeq, a predicted model, not a curated record
UUUGAAUAUCUAUGCCACUACAGCAUCAAAUGCUGAGGAGAGCAGUUGGGGAACCUAUUGUCCCGGAGACUACCCAAGUCCUCCCCCAGAAUAUGACACCUGCUUGGGAGAUUUGUACAGUGUCGCUUGGAUGGAGGACAGUGACGUGCAUAUUUUGCGGACAGAGAAUUUGCACCAGCAAUAUGAAGUUGU